UUCACCUCCUCCGGGAGGACCUGCCCAGAUCUUUCCAGUCCACCCGUACGCCCUGGGGAGCCCGCCAUCUCCAUGCCACAUCACCUCACGGUCUCAUUAUCCGCUAGUCUCAACACAGGACUGUCUGUUUUGUGAGCACGGGAGUUUUGCCUUCCUUAGAGGACGCAAGUCCCCGAAAGUAUUCUGCACCUUCUCAGCCUUCCGUUCCUUGCAUCCCGCUCUGCAUUAUGUGGUGCUGAACCUAUGAAGGGCCAACGCUCAGUCAAUGCUUGUGUUGACUUAGUGUUUCUGGAAGGGGAAAGUUCUAGAAGAGUGGAUACAAAGGAAUUAAUUGUGUGAUGGCAUUUUUACCUCUCACUUCUCCACUUCCCCUUCUUCCCUGUCCUUCCCCAGAUGGCUUACCUGGCUGCCACCAGCCUUUCAGUUCCAGCAUGCCCUUGUGGGGUUGACCACCCACCUCCUUUCAGCCUGCAAUCUGUGGCUAAGCCGUGGUGCCAGCACCCGACACUUAGGGGACAAACCAAAUUGAUCUCUCAUCUCCUCACCAGGGAACCCUGUUUUGAAACACUGCAGAGAAACCAGUUCUGGACCCCCUUUUGUAGCUUCUGCAUAGAGUGGGCUGUGAGAUGUCCAUCAUCCUGACCAGUGUUUCCCAAAGCGUGGGCCCUGGGCCUGCAGCAUCAUCAACAGCAUCAGCUGGGAACUUGAAGGAACUUCAAGACCUAUUAGAAAUACCGAAUUAGCAACUUAGGCUGAGGUCAAGGAAUCCUAACAAGAACCUCAGGAAUUCUGAAACCACUUGAAAAAUGCUGAUUUAGGGAAAUAGCCUGUUUGAAUUUCAGAACGUUAUUCCCAGAGAUCUUCUCAUCUAGACUCUGGUCUUCGUCAGGUAGACUACCCCACCGUUGUGGAGAUGAGAAAGCCGAGGCACAAUACAGUUACGCUCCAGGGUCGCGUGGCUGGGCAAUGUUGGUAUGAAGACGGGCUUUUCUGUUCCUCGACCGAGUCAUCUUUCUAACUUCAGAUAUGGCUGUGGGCUCUAAGAGUGCUGGUGCUUAAGAAGAUGGAGAUGCAUCUGGAAUAAGAUGGAGGUGAUUUUAUGCAUCAACACUUCCCUUGUGGCAAUCACUGUAUGUGGCAGAAAGAAAUAUUUAAAAACACUGUUGGUGCCUAUGAGAGAAGGUCCUACUCACCCAGGGUGUGUUUAAGCAACAAAACACGCAACCAAAAUGACUUUUGAGGUGGGAGAGCCCUCAGUCCUGCUGGGACUGACUCAAGGAGAAUGGACUUUGGAGGAAGUUGUAAGUCCAGCAGUCUUCAUGGGAAGUAAAAAUUGAUUUAUUCCUGAAUGUCUUGGACACUGAGUCGACUCCUCAGCUACAUUAACUGUGCAACGACACAUAUUUUCAGUUGUGAUGGAUUCCUCUGGAGAACAUCAGGAAUGCUGUGACUAAGACAGAGAAACAAAAGAA
Long non-coding RNA from Sciurus carolinensis (gray squirrel), 1472 nucleotides. RefSeq lists it as uncharacterized. NCBI's taxonomy places the organism in Eukaryota, Metazoa, Chordata, Mammalia, Rodentia, Sciuridae. The transcript is spliced from 3 exons. The record is from RefSeq and is a predicted model, not a curated record.